AAACAAGGCAGUUCCCCUUGCCUGCAACUCCCCCUGGGGCGGCACUUUAUUUGCAAAGCGGUGUAAUUGGUUUAAGCUUGUGGGGAAGGAAGGAGAGACAGAGAUGGCAGAGGGGGGCAGACUAAGAAAAGGAGGGCGGGGAACCCCCCUUCCAGAUGGACAGGACAAAUGCUAGGAGGGAUCGGUGGAAAUUAAAUGAGGGCUGCUGUCCGAUGUGGAUGGUCAUGAUAUUUUCUCUGGUGCCUUACGAUUAGAAACCAUGUGAGUCACCGCGCUGAGACAUAACACUACCAGCCACCCAAUAAAUGCGGACAGAGGCUUGAAUGCGGAUCCACCGAUAUUAACCUCCACUUGGCAAACAUCAGGUGAGUCACUGGAACCAUUUUAUAUCUUUACUGUGGAAAGCCUCCAGUCCAGAAGGCUCCGUGGAAGCCUUCCCUGGUGCCAGGCGCCCAGGAGCAGCAAUAAUAAGUAGCGGGUAUUUCGUUACCAACUUCUUGCUCACUAACCCGAUUUUUCGCAAAGAACAGGGGAGGAGGAAUCUACAUGGGCUGGUAAAAGCUGAAAAGGGGCAACAUUAGGGGAGAAAAAAGGAAUAAAAAAGAAAAAAAAAAGGAAAAAAAAAAGGAAAAAAGGUCAUUGAGCAACGUUCUUUAUUAUUAUGGAGAGAACCUCUCAGUCUUUGUAGAUGGAUCGAACAUUUUCUCUUUCUGCUCCUGCCCUGUCUUUGGCUCUUAAUGUCAAAACCACAAACUUUUUUGGUUUUCUUUGGUCUACUCUGUAGUUUGUUACUAUUCAGCUACUAGAACUUUUGUCACCUGGUAUUAAAAAAAGAGGGGACCCCAGCAAAUGCACCACCAAACAACCAAAUAAAAACCCGCAAACCCAAAUAACUUUCCAGGAAAUAGGAAUUGGAAAGGGAAAUAAAGUUUCUUGGGAUUUUGAAAAAAGACUCGAACAUCACAUCACAGAAACUAAAAUACACAUCUGGGUAUGAGUUUCUGCCUGGAAUGUUUAUCGUUCAGCAGGAUCACAAUUGCUUCCACAGUGGUUUGUCCUCGAAUGGUCUGCGAAAACGUCACCCUCAGAAACACGAUUUUAAUGGUUCUUAUACAGAGACCCAGGAUUCAAGUGACGAGAUAUAGCAUAUCUCCGACUCGACAAAUAUGUUCCAACUUGUCCUCUAAAUGCGUUUUCUGUUAUCCCUUUCUUUGUUCUUUCCCUCAUCCUUCUUUCUUUAAAUCUGGCAACAGAAUUAAGUCAAAUCCUCGAAACAAACAAAACUCUGGAAUCAGCAGAUGAGAACAAGAAAAUGUGUAUUGAAAGGAAGAAAAUAGAUAAAAGCACUGGAUUAAAACCCUGCUUUCUCAAAAAGUCAAACUACACCCACGAAUUCUAAGAGAUACUACCACUGCGGUCUUCAUCUCUACACGCUCCUUCUUUCACUAAUAAAAGCGGUCUGUAAGUCUGAAAA
This is a long non-coding RNA of Apus apus (common swift), 1474 nucleotides long. RefSeq lists it as uncharacterized. Lineage: Eukaryota; Metazoa; Chordata; Aves; Apodiformes; Apodidae. The record is from RefSeq and is a predicted model, not a curated record. The transcript is spliced from 2 exons.